CAUGCAAGUCGAACGGAAACCUUCGGGUUUUAGUGGCGAACGGGUGAGUAACACGUAAGCAACCUGCCCUUAAGACGAGGAUAACAAUUGGAAACAAUUGCUAAGACUGGAUAGGAAAAGUAAAGGCAUCUUURCUUUUUUAAAAGAUCUUCUUUGAAGGUAUGCUUAAGGAGGGGCUUGCGACACAUUAGUUAGUUGGCAGGGUAAAGGCCUACCAAGACUAUGAUGUGUAGCUGGACUGAGAGGUUGAACAGCCACAUUGGGACUGAGACACGGCCCAAACUCCUACGGGAGGCAGCAGUAGGGAAUUUUCGGCAAUGGAGGAAACUCUGACCGAGCAACGCCGCGUGAACGAUGAAGUACCUCGGUAUGUAAAGUUCUUUUAUUAAGGAAGAAAAAAGAGUGGAAAAACUCCCUUGACGGUACUUAAUGAAUAAGCCCCGGCUAAUUAUGUGCCAGCAGCCGCGGUAAUACAUAAGGGGCGAGCGUUAUCCGGAAUUAUUGGGCGUAAAGGGUGCGUAGGCGGUUUAAUAAGUCUAUAGUUUAAUUUCAGUGCUUAACGCUGUUGUGCUAUAGAAACUGUUUUACUAGAGUGAGAUAGAGGCAAGCGGAAUUCCAUGUGUAGCGGUAAAAUGCGUAAAUAUAUGGAGGAACACCAGAGGCGUAGGCGGCUUGCUGGGUCUUUACUGACGCUGAGGCACGAAAGCGUGGGGAGCAAACAGGAUUAGAUACCCUGGUAGUCCACGCCGUAAACGAUGAGUACUAAGUGUCGGGUAAAACUGGUACUGAAGUUAACACAUUAAGUACUCCGCCUGAGUAGUACGUACGCAAGUAUGAAACUUAAAGGAAUUGACGGGACUCCGCACAAGCGGUGGAUCAUGUUGUUUAAUUCGAAGAUACACGAAAAACCUUACCAGGUCUUGACAUUUUCUUGCGAAAUUAUAGAAAUAUAAUGGAGGUUAUCAGGAAAACAGGUGGUGCAUGGUUGUCGUCAGCUCGUGUCGUGAGAUGUUAGGUUAAGUCCUAAAACGAGCGCAACCCUUGUCGUUAAUUGCCAGCAUGUAAUGAUGGGGACUUUAACGAGACUGCCAAUGAAAAAUUGGAGGAAGGUGGGGAUUACGUCAAAUCAUCAUGCCCCUUAUGAUCUGGGCUACAAACGUGAUACAAUGGUUGAUACAAAGAGUAGCUGAAACGCGAGUUCUUAGCCAAUCUCAAAAAAUCAAUCUCAGUUCGGAUUGAAGUCUGCAACUCGACUUCAUGAAGUUGGAAUCGCUAGUAAUCGCGAAUCAGCAUGUCGCGGUGAAUACGUUCUCGGGGUUUGUACACACCGCCCGUCAAACCACGAAAGUUGGCAAUGCCCCAAAGCGGUCACCUAACUUCGCAAGAAGAAGGAUCCGUCUAAGGUAGGGUCGAUGAUUGGGGUUAAG
RNAcentral lists this ribosomal RNA (1427 nucleotides) under Poinsettia branch-inducing phytoplasma. Its description in RNAcentral is "bacterial SSU rRNA". It matches the Rfam family "Bacterial small subunit ribosomal RNA". RNAcentral also lists the same sequence under 1 other name. Lineage: Bacteria; Bacillati; Mycoplasmatota; Mollicutes; Acholeplasmatales; Acholeplasmataceae. The record is from RNAcentral.